Molecule: long non-coding RNA, 27039 nt
Filed under: Malus domestica (apple)
Lineage: Eukaryota; Viridiplantae; Streptophyta; Magnoliopsida; Rosales; Rosaceae
Description: long non-coding RNA (MDOM_LNC020096)
Source: RNAcentral
UUGUGAAACUGACUUGGAAGGUACUCUAUUAAGCAAGUAAGCUGCUGUAUAUAGAGCGUAUCCCCAGAAUGUUAUUGGUAGAUCAGCGGAACUCAUCGUAGAACAAACCAUGUUCAUCAAGGUUCUAUUUCUCUUUUCAGAAACUCCAUGAAGUUGUGGAGUUCCUGGUGGAGUCCACUGUGAUAUUAUUCCACACUCUUUGAGAUAAUCUAGGAACUCAUUACUCAGAUAUUCACCCCCUCGAUCCGAUCUUAGGAUCUUUAUCUGUUUCCCAGUUUGCUUCUCAACUUUAUUCUUGAAUUCUUUGAACCUUUCAAAGGAUUCUGACUUGUACUUCAUAAGAUACACAUAGCCAAACCGAGAGUGAUCGUCGGUGAAUGUGAUAUAGUAGGAGAAGCCUCCUCUCGACGUGGUAGACAUAGGUCCACAUACGUCAGUGUGGAUUAACCCUAGAAUUUCAGUGGCACGCUCUCCUUUUCCAGUAAAUGGAGAUUUGGUCAUCUUCCCUUUCAAGCAACAUUCAGAAGUACCCAUCCGGUCAUUACCUAAUGGGCGGAAAUAUCCGUCUUUCGACAUCUUGCGAUUCUUAUCAAGGUUCACAUGUCCAGGUUUAAGAUGCCACAUCUUUUCUUGGUUAACUUCUUCUCUAGCCCUUUUGGGUUUUGAGGUAUUCCCGCUUUCAAUACAGUGCAUCCCACUAUUCGUCUCUAGGUAAAAAAGACCCUCUAUCAUAUUACCAUGAGAGAUAAUACGACCGUUCAAGUAUAAAGUGCAACUCAUUUUGUCAAACAAUACUGAGUGCCCAUCUCGUAAAAGCUUAGAGAUAGAAAUCAAAUUCUUUAUACAUGAAGGAAAAUAUAAACAAUUUUUAAGUUCCAGGAUUUCCCCAGAGGGUAGUUUAAGCAUGUAGGUGCCUAUUGCUUUUGCAGAGAUUUUAGUGCCGUUCCCAACUCGCACAACCAUCUCCCCAUUGCGCAGUGACUUGCUCCCCGCUAGUCCCUGCAUCGUAUUACAGAUAUGUUGGCUAGUGCCUAAAUUAAAUAUCCAGGAACUGGAGCUCACUGUAAAAGCACUCUCUAUGACGGAAAUAGUCUCUUCAAAAGUUCGUGUCAUAAGGCUCGCAAUGCGCACCCUGUAUUUCUUCUUCCAACGUUCAUCCUUUCCACAAUGAAUGCAUGUUCCUUUGGAUUUCUUUGCCUUCUUCUUAUGCAACCUUUUCCUUGUGAUUGCAUCCUCACUCCCACUGUCCUUUUUGAAACCUUUUUCAAAUUUACAGCACAUGUCAAUCAUCUCGUUUAAAGUAUGAUCGAAUCUAUUCACUUUAUAGUUUACAAUAAACUUAGUGAAAUCAUCCGAGAGAGAUGCAAGGAAAAAGUCUUGGGCCAUUUUCCCAUCGAUGGAAGUUCCUAAACUUUGAAGAUCUUGAAAGAUCCUUUCCAUCUUUUGUCCAUGUUUAUGGACCGAUGUCCCCUUUGCCAUUUUGGCAUUCAUUAGACUACAAACAUUUGAGAAUCGUACAUUACUAGUCUCAUUGUCAUGCAUCUUAUGCAAACUUUCAACCAUGGCACAAGAAGUGUCCAUGUGCUUAUGUAGCUUCAUAAGCGCCUCACUAAGUGAAGUGAGGAUUAAGCAUUUGGCUUGUAAGUCAUCCUCAUAGUGUCUAAAAUAAUUUUGACACUCCUCUUUUGAAGCUAGUUUCGUAGGAGGUACAUGAGGUGGGGAUUGCUUAAGCAUAUACAAUAUGUCUUUCACCUUUGAGACAUUCUCAAUGUGGCGAUACAAGCAAGGAAACGUUGGCCCUUAAGGCCCCUUUUGUCAAGUAUAAUGGUGGGUAUUAUUUUAGGCAUGUCGUUAACUACAUAACAUAACAGAAAUCGUAUUAGAUUGUUUGUUUUAAAACUACUUGAUUGGGUCUUAAAUCAAAUAAUAUCACCCACUAUUUUGGGCAAAUUCCACAUCCCUCAAUGGAAUUCGAGAGUUAUAGGCUCACCAUUACCAAGCCCACCUCACGAUGAUACGAUAUUGGUUAACAAAAAUAAUGAUGAGAGAAUAACGCUUUAUUCAUUUACAACUUUUGUAAUUUCCCAUCUUGUUUGGCCUCUAGAGAAUGAUUCCUCACGAUGAUACGAUAUCGGCACCAUUGCACUUAGUUAAGUCAUUCCCACCAUGCUUAGUUCGUGAAGGGGUUCAAGAAUAGCCUCACAAUGAUAUGAUAUCGGCCAUCCUCGUUGCCUACACUCACCUCAUCAUAUGUUUAUGGACUCCUCUUGGAUGUAAGCACAUACUUUGAACUUCCCCAUGAUAGGGUGAAGCCGGUGUAGGAGUCACAAACGAUUGGAGCCCACCACGGUGGUAGGCCUACGAAGAGAUGUUCAAAACAUCUCUCGCUUAUCAACUUAAUAUUCGUUUUGUUGAGGGAGUAGUGUUGGGCUACAUCAAAAUUAUUUUAAUCUUAUUAAAAGAACUUGGGCCUAUCACAACCAUUGGUCCAAGUUAAUAUGAAUUAGUAGUUUAUAAUACUCCCACUAUUUCGAUGAAACAAGCGAGACUAUAUGGAACUACUAACGAAUGCUUUGCAUCCUCAUAUGGACUAUAUAGUCAUAUUAGGUUUUAGGAUGAUUAUGAACCGUUUGAUUUGAUCCAACACGAGCCUUGUGUUGGACCUUGGGUUUAAGGUAGAUAGUUGUUGAUUUUAGUUACGCGUUUAAUCUAAUUAAACCGUUAUUUUCUAUUGGGCGUUGGACCCAACUAUUCCAAUUUGCAUACAUAUAAACAAAAAGGAAUACAUGAAAUAAUAAGAAGGGCUUAUGCCCUUUUACAACACAAAUGAUGGACUUAUGUCCAUUUACAACAAAUUUGAACUAAUCAAAUUACAUUCAAUUCUACACUACUAAACCCAAACAUUCAUAAUGUAAAGCGGCCAAUCACAUAGCUCAAUUAUCGAGGCCUUUGGUUCAUAAUCACCCUUUUCUUAAUCAAUCACAUUAACUAAGAAAGCAACUUAAACAAUUGGUUUUCGGAUUCAUAGAAUUGAUUUAAACGGAACUAAAUAAAAUGAAAAUCUAAUUCUCAUUUAAAGCGACAAAACCAUUUUGUUCUUAUUUAAUUUGGGCCAAAACCAAUGACCACAACAUUUGGGCCAUUUGGCAAAAACAGAAAAAAAACUUUUGGGGUCACUUUGUAAAAACACAAAAGUCCACAACUUUAUGUAAUUACAACUAGAACCCAAAAUUUUCAACAAUUCCUAAAACUUCAUUAAAGAAACAAAACAAUUUGUCCUUUAGUGAUUUUGGACCUUUACGCAAAAAUACGUAAACUUUUGGGCCAAAAUGCAAAAACACAAAAGUAUCAAAACUUUAUGUAAUUGCACAAAAGGCCCAAAAUUACCCUAUUUUAAAGGUUGGCUGGCCAUGAGAGAACAAGUGAAAAAAUUUUCUAAAAAGUUUUUGUAAGUUGAUUUGGUAGGUGAGAUAAAGGUGAUUUAGAUGGUUUGUAAGAAAAUGUUUUGUAAAACAUUAAAGGCAUUAAACAUGUUUCACCAAUAAACAUCACCCAUCAAUUAUAUACCAAAACUUUAUGAAAAAACAUAAAACUUUUGAAUCAAAACUUCAAAACUUUUUGUUCUUGGCAAGAACUUCAAGAACAUUGAAGAACACUCAGGAAAACUCAUAAUAGCUCCAUGAAUGUUUUCACUCACCAAAACUCAAAUUUUCACUACUCAAAAGAGGGUUAAUAUCCUAGGGUACUUAGGGGUUCCAAAAGUCACUUUAAAACCAUUUUAACAAGACAAACAUGAACCCAAAAAACCACCCUUUGGAUUUGGCCGAAUUUCCCAACAUACAUGGCACCAAAUUUUAGUUCCAAUAUUCAUGCUUUAAUGAAUUACAUCUACAACAUUUGAGAUGCUAAAUUUUCAACCAAAAUUUAUAUUCAAAAGCAAGAACAAAGCUUGUAACAUUUACAACAUUUAAAUCACAAAUCAUGAAAAUCACAAAACCCAAAAGGAUUCACCAUAAACUAGGCCUAGGCUUUGAUACCACUUGAAGGAAAAAUUUUGUCCUAGCUAAGAACAUGUGAGAAUAUUUGAAUACAUAUGCAAACUAUUAACACAAUAAAGUAGGCAUACAUUAAAAAACAAUUCAUAAAACCGAUGACUUUCAAAGCCUAGUAUAUGGUGAACCAAUAAACUCUUUGACAACAAUAAAGAGAAGGAAAGAUUUAGAGUUUCUUUACCCUUGAAGCUCAUCCUUGAUUACACAAGGGAUUCACCCAAGUGGAGGGCCUUCAAGUCACCUCCUUGCUCCUUGGAUCUUCCUUGUGGUUUUCCCCCUUUUGUGCUCCUUUGCUUCUUUGAGGAUUUGAGGAUUUGUUCUCCAAAACAUCAAAAGUUUGAUGUCUCUAAGUCUCUUCACCAAGAAUGUGAUGUGAAGAUGAAAUGGAUGACUUAGGGAAGAAGAGAUUGCUAGCUAUUCCUUCCCUAGGUGGCUGGCCUCUUUAGAGAAAAUGAGAGAAAAUUGUUUCACCUCAUUUCACCAAGAAAAACCCUAAAUGAAAAUAAAGCUAUAAAGUUGAAUAUACUUCAUCACAUGUGAGUGGCAAACUUGUAAUUAAUCCAAGUUUGACACUUCUCACCCUAAUGCCCGGCCAUAUCAAAUUGAUUGGGCUAAUUGCCCAUUUUGUUUUAGUUGUCAUACAACUUAAACAUAAUGGGCCUUGUGGACCAAAACGCUUUUGGGCCCCGAAACCCAAAACCAACAUAUAAGCCCAAUACGAACAUUUCGUAUAAUUAAUUAACUAAUUAAUUAACCUUGACCAUUCUUCAAUUAAACCAUUUAAUUGUUUAUCCAUUUCAUUUAAUUUCUUCACCAACAUCCUUACUCGGUGUACGAUCCAUUAGGUUCCAUUUAGCGAGGUAGUGGGCGAUUGUUACUCUUAACGAUCGAUUGUGAAUUGAAACCACAUUCAAUUCUCCCUUAAAAUUAGUGUUUGCUAAUCUUUAGGGCUUCCACAAAUCAUGAGUGACACCUAGCAGCAUAUCAUGGUUACCCAAGCUAAGAAGAAGUGGUUGGAGAACCUAUCCAGUUACAACCACAAUGCAAUACGGUCCUUCUCUAAUACAAUACUCUUAAUCACAUUGUUUCAGGUGAUAGUUUGUUUCAUGUCUACUAUCCAAUGUGAUACUUAUCUAUAUGAUUCAAUUGAAUAUGAUUUGGAACAAACUUCCUAAGUCAUAUUCAUAUGCUUUGGCUGUUGGAAGUAUGCCCACAAAGCCACUCAUUUGAUGUAAUAGCUUUUGGAAUACUUAUUGUAUUAAACGUUUAUAUGUUUAAUGAAGGGCAAAGCUUAUUGUUAAUCACUAUUUAUUGUAUCAUGUGUUUAAGCAAUAAGGGAAUCCAAGGAAUGUAUUUGAUCUAAGAGAUAAGUGAUCUAAGUGAGUUAGAUUAUCGAGACCUUUCUCUUAUAUUCAUUCCUAAAACGUUCCUAGCCAUAGGAUUGCCAAUUGGGCAUUGACAAUCCGUUAAGGUUAGUAUGUGUUAUGUUGACUCAAGCGUGAGUAUGACUAGUCUCAAGUCAUUUAGUGUUGGACACUAAGACAAACACAUAAGUGCUCGAAAGAGUAAUCGAGUACACUGAACAACGAUCAAAAGAGAGUUCGAACAUACAUGUCAUGUAAGAACUCGAAAGUUGCAAUAUGCAAAGUAGUCCUUUGACCUGAGGCAUCAUAGAUGUCUAAUGGUUAGGCCCUUGAUCUUUGAUCAUGUCAACGGCAUUCCAUCGGAGUGUUCACGGCAUUGUUGGGGUCAAGCUAUCUAGUCAUGUAGGCAUAUGAAUGCACAACAAGGGAUCUCUAGCCUUCCAUGGUGGAAGGAGAAUACUCUAAGAUAUGAUUCGUAAGUCUUUGGCCAAAGCAAAUGAAUAUGACUUAGGAAGUUUGUUCGAAUUCAUAUUCAAAGGAAUCAUAUAGAAAAGUAUCACAUUGGAUAGUAGACAUGAAACAAACUAUCACUUAAACAAUGUGAUUAAGAGUAUUGUAUUAGAGAAUGACCGUAUUGCAUUGUAGUUGUAACUGGAUAGGUUCUCCAACCAAUUCUACUUAGCUUGGGUAACCAUGACAUACUGCUAGGUGUCACUCAUGGUUUGUGGAAGCCCUAAUGACUAGCAAACACUAAUCAUAAAGGGAGAAUUGAAAUGUGGUUUCAAUUCACAAUCGAUCGUUAAGAGUAACAACCGCCCACUACCUCGCUAAUUGGAACCUAAUGGAUCGUACACCGAGUAAGGGCGAUAGUGAAGAAAUUAAAUGAAAUGGAUAUGCAAUUAAAUGGUUUAAUUGAAGAAUGGUCAAGAUUAAUUAAUUAGUUAAUUAAUUAUACGAAAGGUUCGUAUUGGGCUUUUAAGUUGGUUUUGGGUUUCGGGGCCCAAAAGUGUUUUGGUCCAUAAGGCCCAUUAUGUUUAAGUUGUAUGACAACUAAAACAAAAUGGGCAAUAAGCCCAAUCACAACAUAUAGGCCGGCCAUGGUGAGGAGAUGGUGAAAGUUUUGCUUAAUUGCAAGUUUGCCACUCACCAAAGAAAAGUGUUAUAAAAGCAACUUUAUAGCUAUUUUCUCAUGAGGGUUUUCUUUGAGGCAAAGAGGUGAAACAUUUUCUCUCUUUCUCUCUACAAAGAGGCCGGCCACUUAGGGAGAUUAAUCUAGCAAUCUCUUCUUCCCUAAGUCAUCCAUUUCAUCUUCACACUUAACCCUUGGUGUGGAGACUUAGAGACACCAAACUUUUGGUGUUUUGGAGAUCCUUUCUUUACAUCCACAAAGUCCAAAGGAGCACAAAAGGAGAAGGAAAUCACAAGCAAUAUCCAAGGAGCUAGGAGGUGACUUGAAGGCCCUCCACUUGGGUGAAUCCCUUGUGUAAACAAGGAUGAGCUUCAAGGGUAAAGAAACUCUAAAUCUUUACUUCUCUUUAAUGUUGUUAAAGAGUUUAUUGGUUCACCAUCUACUAGGCUUUGAAAGUCAUGGGUUUUAUGAAUUGUUUUUGAAUGCAUGCCUACUUUAAAGUGUUAAUAGUUUGCAUAUGUAUUCAAAUGUUCUUACUUGUUCUUAGCUAGGACAAAAUUUUUCCUUCAUUGGCCAAUGACUCUUGAAUCAUAUCUUAGAGUAUUCUCCUUCCACCAUGGAAGGUUAGAGAUUCCUUGUUGUGCAUUCAUAUGCCUAAAUGACUAGGUAGCUUGACCACAACAAUGCUGUGGACACUCCAAUAGAAUGCCUUUGACAUGAUCAAAGAUCAAGGACCUAACCAUUAGACAUCUAUGAUGCCUCAGGUCAAAGCACUACUUUGCAUAUUGCAACUUUCGAGUUCUUACAUGACAUGUAUGUUCGAACUCUCUUUUGAUCGUUGUUCAGUGUACUCGAUCACUCUUUCGAGCACCUAUGUGUUUGCCUUAGUGUCCAACACUAAAUGACAUGAAACUAGUCAUACUCACGUUUGAGUCGACAUAACACAUACUAACGUUAGCGGAUUGUCAAUGCCCAAUUGGCAAUCCAAUGGCUAGGAAUGUUUUAGGAAUGAACAUAAGAGAAAGGUCUCGAUAAUCUAACUUACUUAAAUCACUUAUCUCUUAGAUCAAAUACAUUCCUUGGAUUCCCUUAUUGCUUAAACACAUGAUACAAUAAAUAGUGAUUAACAAUAAGCUUUGCCCUUCAUUAAACAUAUAAAAGUUUAAUACAACAAGUAGCCACAAUGGCCUUUUUUAAGGCUUAGUUAGCUGAAGGAUUUUGGGUCUCUUGGCCUUAUCCGAGGGGAAUUGGGCCCCAGAGAUGGAAGGGGCACAUUAUGAAGUACGCUUUACAAAUAGCUACCCUGGAACCCUAAAGUUGCUACAGAGUGCACUAAGGUAGCCUACGGUUUCUGAAAGACUGCCUACGACUUGCCUUUUGAGCUGUAAAGCCAAGCUAGACUUAUACAACCGCAUAUUCUUGUGAGAGGUUAAACAAGCUAGCGUGCAUAUACAAAGCUUUAUCCACUGCCGACAUGCUACAUAAUCGAUAAGCUUCACCCCUGCCAAGCGCGGAACAACCUACACCAAGUCUUAAAGUGUUGUGAUACUUGCUACGCAACCUACAAAAUUGGAGAAAGCCAUGGUUAACAACCUAGUGGUUUCACGGACUUGUCUGCUUCUAUAAGUAAGGCAUCCGGCUGCUAACCCUAUGGCUAACAUUUUUGCAAAGUUCUACACCAACACCUAUGGUUUCAUAGGCUACGUAGGCCUGUCUUCUUAUAGAAAAGUAGCAUGCCUACCACUGGCCUAUAAAAUCUAAAGGCUAGGGCAUGAACAAAAGAAGCGAAGAUGGAGAAAAGCGAAGGAAAAAAGUUUAUUAAAUUUUCUAGCAAAAUUGAUAAGUGACUAGCAAAAGACCGAAUGAGCUUAAGCAAAGCAAAAGCGACAAGGAACACAAAGAAAAUCCUAAAAACUACCUAGAAUAGUACUCUUUGGCAACUUGGACGCUUCACGACUACUUGGUCAAAACCUUCAAUAGCCAUGACAUUCUCAGCAGCGGCACCAUCCGACGCUUCACCCUUGGCUGUUCUAACAUAGGCAUCAAUCUCUCCGACUACUUCACCAAGAGAAGCCUUAAAAGUAAAGGCAAGCAAGCAUUCCAGAGAAAUAAAGAAAUAAGCGUCCAUGUCUUCAUGCAGAUCUGGUUUCAAAAGCGCACAGAUCUCAGCAUCCUCCCCAGAAGCAAGCUUAGUGGAUUUCUCACAGUUGCCCAUGGGAGUCGUCUCAUCUUUCCCAGCAGGUGAGACAAUCUCAGCAGUAGAAGGAGAGGGCCUUAGCGUCACUUUAGUAGUAGAGUCCACCUUAAAUCUCUUCAUAAUAGCAAGCCUCUCCAAAGGUGAACUAGCCUUAGCUCCCAAUGGACAUCUUGGUACAAACUUCAGCAUUGGGGCAUGACAUAACCUUUACACUGAGCAAUCUUAUCAGCAAUUGCACUAGCCAUUCUCCACAUGGCAGGUGCCACAUGCUUAGAUCUAGAAGCCUCAUUUUUCUUCCCAUUAGAAAAAGUCAUGUCAAUCAUAGGCCUCUCGGCAACAGGCGAACCCUCACGAGCAGUGGAGCAAGUCUUCAGUUUUUUCUCAACCGGUAUCUCUUGAGCAAGCAGGGAAGAUCUUUUCUUUCCACCUUCAUUCAUAGUAGGCUCCACGACAUUGAUCAAACAAGCCAAUGCAUCCACCUUGAUCCUCUUUACCUCAUCUUUUGGGAGUAGGCCACCUUUUUCCCAGCGAAGAGAACUAAGUAGCCAGUACUCAGCAGGGGAGCUUAACCCAUGAUGGUUUUUCCUUCAGUUUUUCUCUCGAACCAGCAGGCAGGAGGCAUGCAUGCCCAGCAUUCUAGCAGCCCAUGAGGCCCACGACCUUCUCAUUUUUCUCAAUCGCCGUCCUGGCCCGUGUCAGGUCCAAGAGCCCAAAGGAUAUGAUCCAUGUGGCUCGCCUAGCACUGCACCCAGCCACACAAGCUGCCAUUGGCUCUAGCCAAGCCAUGCAGCCCAAAUAGUGGUCCCUGCCACACACCUCUUCGGCCCAUGUCGAGCAAACUCGUGGCCUCUGCCAGCCGAAGAGUCGCACCACCCUGACAACUACCCUGUUACAACACUAUCUAAGAAGAAGAUGAGAAAAAUUAAAUUUUUCUUACCUCGGUGCGGCGCGGAAAAGAUGAAGCAAGCAAUGAAAGACGAUCAUUUGCAUGGGCAAGAUGUAGAAGAUUGCUAAAGGAGGGGGAACAAAUAUCCUCUAAGCUUUCUUUUUCUUGUAUGGUAGAAUAAAUUGCUCUCCAAAGUCGAUUUCAUAAUCCACUUAAGGUAGACUUAAAUAGGCUUUGAGAGAAAUUUAUUUCCCUUUCCUAGAAGGAUCUAAUUUUCAAUUAAAGAGGGAAUCGACAUCAAAAUAAGAAACAAUCCAAAGUUUCCAAAAGCAAGAAAAUCUCUACACCUGUUGCCCUUUUCUGCGAGCAGCCUAAUAGGUGUGGGGGCAUUUGUGGAGCCAAAAAUAAUCAAGAGGCGACAUGUGGAUUUUUAGGUGUAAAGGACGAAAUUACCCUCGAGGCACACUAGUAUUCCUAUGUGCGAGCAGUGGACAAUCAUCCUUCAGUCAAGUCAAAAGUGCCCAAAUAGGUAUUUAUUUAUAACCUAUUUCAUCCAGCCCUCGUCAUAUCUUCUUCACAAGGUAACCCCCAAAACAUUCCUUUUAAAUUAUGUUAAUUAGCUAAUUAAUGGAUUUAUUACCUAAUUAACCUAUUAAUGGCUAAUUAAACUACCAAUUACAACCAAAAAACAUACAAGAGGCCGGUCACCUUCUCUCCCAAGGGGGCCAGCCAUGCCUUAUAUAUUCUACCUCAUUUUCUCUAAAAACCUAAGUUUUCACUCUUGCCAAGGUGUUAUUGAAGGAAGAUUUUGUGAAAACAUGUUCAUUUAAGCAACAUCAAUAAGCAUGCAAUUAACAAUUAAAGGCGGAAUCAUGCUAGCAUGCACUUAAAAACAAAACAUUAACCAUGAAAUUCAAAGCCUAGUAGAUUGGUGAACCAUUAAUCAACUCAAAACAAAGUGAGUUGAAAUAUAUACCUUUGUAGAUUCCUCUUUGUAUUUAAACAAAGGCUAAUCACCCAAGAGAUAGGGCCUUCAUUCCUUGCAUCUAAGAUCCAUGGAUUUGGAUGGAUCUACACCAAGGAGAGCAUGGAUGAUAAAUGAGUGACCAUGGAAGAAUAGAUGGCUAGCUACAACUUCCAUGGUGGCCGGCUUUUCUAGAGAGAAAUGGAGAGACAAUUCUCACCAAUUUUCCCCAAAAACAAACCCUUAAUGAAUUAAAAGGCUAUAAAGUCAUAUUUAUACCUUUAUUCAUUUGAGUGGCAAACUUGUAAUUAAAGCAAGUUCACUACCCUUUCUCUAUAUGGCCGGCCAUGGGGGGUUGUUUGGGCUUUUUGGGUCUUAGUGAAUCAAUAUUCAUUAAGUUGUCAUACAACUUAAGUCAAUGGGCUUGACGUUCGAAGCCCAUUGGGCCUUAAGGUCCAAAACCUAUCCCGAGGUCUUUAACGAACUUAUUCGUUUGAUUAAUUAACAUAUUAAUUAAUCCUUGCCAUAAAUAAUUAAACUAUUCAAUUGUUCUUACUCAUUUAGUUUGUUUCAUCCAUCUCCACCUUAUACGGUGUACGAUCCAUUAGGUUCCUUUUAGCGAGGCAGUGGGCGAUCAAAACUCUUUCAAAUCGAUUAUGAAUUGAAACUUACUUUCAAUUCUCCCUUUAGUGAUAAUACACUUUUAGGGCUUCCACAAACCAUGAGUGACACCUAGCCGUAUGUCAUGGUUACCCAAGCUAAUCAGAAGAGGUUAAGAACCUAUUCAGUUUAGGAUUACAAAUGCAAUACGGUCCUUCUCUAAUACAAUACUCUUGACCACAUUGUUUGGUUUGAUAGUUUAUUCAUGUCUACUAUCCAAUGUGAAUCGUGUUCUUAUAUGAUUUCCUUGAAUGUGAUUUAGAACGACUUUUCUAAAUCUCAAUCAUACUCUGGCCAGAGAUUCUAAAUCAUAUCAUAGAGUAUUCUCCCUCAAACGGUUUGAAGGUUAGAGAUCCCUUGUUGCGCAUUCACUUGCCUCCAUGACUAAGUGGCUUAACCCCAACGAUGCCGUGGACACCCCGAUGGGGUGACAUUGACAUAAUCAAAGAUCAAGGACUUAACCACAAGACAACUGUGAUGCCUCAGGUCAAAGGACUAAUUUGCAUUAUCCCAAACAUGAGUUCUCAUGUGACAUGAGUAUGAGAACUCUUCGUUGAUCGUGUUCAGUGAACUCAUUCUCUACUGAGCACCUACGUACUUGUCUUGAUGUCACACACACCAAUGACUCGAGACUAGUCACUCUCCCUGAGAGAAGACAUAGCACGUACCGAUCUUGACGGACUGUCAAUGCCCAAUUGGCAAUCCUAUGAUCAGGAACAUUUAGGAUGUGUCUACGAAAGAAUGGUCUCAUGAAUCUAACUUCAUUAGAUUACAUUCUUCCCCAAUCACAUAUUCCUUGGACUUUAUCGUUUAAGCAUAUAACAUUUAUAUGAGACGGCUCAAACAAUAAUCUUUGCCCUUUAUAUUAAACUAGAUUAGUUUAACAUGUGAAAUGUCCGUAAAGUAUCAUCACAUGAUUGGUUUCAGGGCACAUUUCCAACAAUCUCCCACUUGCACUAGAGCCAAUCAACUUAGUCAUCAGUGAUGAUACCUCUUUUGUAGUCAUUUCAUAAAUGGCUGAAUAGUAGGCCUAGGCAAUGGAUAUCUAUAUGUUAUCCAUAGAAGCAACCUUGAGAAUAACGACGUCACCAUUAUACAUGAUUCUUAAUCAUGUGGUUCAGUCUCUCAUAUGAGUUCGGAUCUUGAUGAGACCUUGAUUCCCUGGCUUGAGCUAUCGCCCCAUUAGUGUCAUAGUGUCGAUACACUAGAUACACUUUCUGGUUGGAACCGAAUAGAGAGUUCAUAAAUGAACUUUCCCAUCCAAACAACAUUGUUGCAAACUUCUAUAUGGCAAUAUAUCUUGCAUUCAUAAUGGAACACACUAAAGUCAUUACUUUAAUGUUUCCAUCCAAAUAUCUCUUUAGUCAUAAUAAAGAGAUAUAUGUUUAUCUCUUCAUUCAUAAUGAAGAAACAUCCAAUGAUGGAUUAGAUUCAUAAUCUAAUACAUUUACGCUUCCUUUACGUUACUCUAAUUCUUCCUCGAUCUUUGAGGAAUUUAUCCCAUAGUAUUUCUUAAAUACUUAAGGACUCACUUGACAGUUGCCAUGGUUCUGAUCCUGGGCUUGCACUGAUAUCGUCUUGUACCUUUCUAGGUACAACUCAUAUCAAUGUUUUUCAUACAAUAUGAAAUACAUAAAUCACCUUUAUGCGUAUGCAUAAAGGAUUCUUAUUUACGCAUUAUUUCUUUGGGAGUCAAAGGGUACGUUCCCUUUGAGAAGAGCUACCUCCUAGUCUCACUAGAGUUGUUCUUCUGAUUAAAGUUUAUCAUCAUAUGAGAAACUUCCUAGCAUCUUUUGUCUAUUAUUAGGGAUUGAUAUAAUCCAAAUUAUAUCCUAAAAUCUAUCAAUAUAGAUUUCCAUCCCAUGUAUAUAGACUAUGUCUCCCAUAUACAUUCUAUCUUUAUAGAAUGUUUAAAGUCAUAACUUUAACGAAGUUUUAAAGUAACUUUAACGAAGAAGUAUUCAUUUCAUUUCCAAAAUUAAUAAAUCAUAUAUACAUUCAUAUAUAUCACAUAUAUAUUUAUAUAUAUAUAUAUAUAUACAUACAAAUUUAGGAAUAUGACUAACUCCCACUAAUCUUUUGUAAACCUAGUAAACAAAAGAUUCAUUUACAUCUUUAUGAGAAAGCAAACGAUUUGACCUUUCUCUCAUAAGACGCUUAUAGCUCCCACUAGCUUGCUAAGAUCCAUGAUGGAUGGAUCUCUACAACUUACAUGUCUUGUGAUUCAUAGUUUUAGACAUAUAUUAUCAAGACUAUCUUAAUAAUGGUUUCGGAAACCUAUAUUAUGUCCAAACAUUGAAUCACCAUUUAAUUGUAGCUAGCAAUCUUCGAAUUAAUUGAAAAACUAAGACUACGUCAAAAAUGGUUUCCUUCAAAGUCAACCAUUCUAUUUGAUUGUAGUCACCUUAAGCUACCAAUUAGCUUAUGAAGGUUUCAUUAUUUCGGGUUAAAUGGUACUUUACCAUUUCCUUGAGUAUAUAUCGUAUAUGCACUCAAUGUAGUCAUAAGGAUUUUCAUUCUUAUUUCUUUCGAAUUAAGAGGUGCAACUCUAUGACAUAGUCAUAAAGUUCAAACCAUUCAACUGAGACGGUUUAUAAAUCCUUCUCGACUACCUUGGAGCUUGUGGUAUAGGAAUUAGGUUGUUUAUAUUUGUUGAUUACUUUCUUGUCUCUCAAAGAACCCAUUCUUUGAGUUCUAUCUCUCGUUUAUUUGCUUUUAGGCAAAUCACAUUGUAUGAUUACAAUGAACUACCCAACAAAACAACAUUUGUUAGUUGGUUUAUAGAAGCGAUAUCCAAAAGUUAAUUUAAGGAUAUCCUACAAGAUUGUUAUCAAACAAAUAUUGUGUAUUAACACACAACCCCAAAUCUUAACAUGCUUAAGAUUUGUCUUUCUUUCCAACUACAUCUUAUGGAGUCAUGAAAAAUUUGGAAGAUCUUCUAAUUGACAAUCAUAUUGUUUUUAGAAGUAUAUAUCCUAUAUAUAUGGGUAAUUGAUAAUAUCCAACGAACUAAAUCUUAUUCAAGUUCGUUCUUCUCCUAAUGGAGAAAUCCAUUAUCUUAUGAUGCUAUUUUCCUUGAUAUCUUUCAAGGAAACUCAUCUAAAGUGUUACUUUUCCUUGGAUCAAAUCUAAGGAGGUAAAUACUUUAGAUGUCUUACUCAUCAACUUACAUUUCUUGAAUUCUUUGAAACUUUUUUGCAAAGUAUUCGGACUUGUGUUUAUUCAAAAUAAACUAUAGUCCAACCGAGAGUGAUCUUCGGUGAAUGUCAUCCAACAUGAGUAGUAUUAUGUUGUGGAUAAGUGCCACUAACAUCUAAGUGAAUUAACCUCAACAACUUUGUGAUUCUUUCUUCUUUCCAAAAGAAUAAAGAUUCGAACAUUUCGCCUCUAUACAAUUUUAACAAGAAGGUAUUGGAUCCGGAUCUAACGAUCCAAAGCAUCCAUCUUUCACCAACUCAUAACUUAUGUUUUUAGAGGAAUCACAACUUAGUUGGGAUUAGUCACUACCUUGCAACCUUUUGGGUUUUAAGCAUCAUUAUGUUCUAAACAGUUAACACCACCAUAUUAUCUCUACUAUAGAGACAAUCAAUUAGAUUACUAUAAUCCAAUCAUUGAUUAAUAAAGAACAAUGUUUUGUCAAACAAAACAUUCAUCCAUCUCUACUAUAGUGACGGAAUUAAAUUCCUUAAAAUUGGAAUGUAAAGACAAUCUUUGUUUUUUUUCAAUUUCUUUGGUAGUUCAUAUGAGGAAGUAAGUACUAUCUGCUUUCGCAGAGAUCUAUAUUUUAUUCACGUUCCGAAUGUGAAGCACCUUUUCUUCUCUCAUAUAUCUUCUACUUCUUAUUAGUCACACUUUUACAACGAUUGUAAAACAUAGUUACUAAUACGGAAUCAAGCAUUCAAGUAGAAGAACCAACUGUUUUGAACUUUUCAAGAACAAUUUACAACACCUUCGAAAGGUGUGUUCUUGACACUUGCAAGACAUUUCUUGCAAAUACCCCUUCCAAUGUCCAUCCUUUCAUAAAGAAAGUUUGUUCCCUUGGAGUUAAUUUUAUCUUCUUCAUUUGACUUCUCCUUUGACUACAAUAGUCAUGGUCCCUAAACUCCCACUAUCUCUCUUGAAACUUAUUUCAAUUGUGUUAUACACAUCAAACAUUUUUGGAGAGCAUGUGGUUAUUGUUCACUACAUAGUUUACAAUAAACUUAGUGAACCAUUAGGAUAGGGACACAAAGGUGAAGUCCUUGCCUAGUUUCCGUCUCAUUAAGUGGUUUAUCACUUCAACACUUAAUGAUUCAAAAUCAUCAUAAGUCCAUGUUAAUGGACUAUUUUUGUCAACCAACCAUUAUGUUCUAAACAUAAUUACAAACUUUCAAGAGUUGUACAAGGCAACUCUCAUUUCUUCAUACAACAAUUUGUAAGUGAAGAAUCAUGGCACAUUAAGUGUCCAUGCCUUUGUGCUUUCUUCUUAAGUUCUUUGUUCAUUUAACAAAGAAACAAGCACUAAGUGUUUGCAUUGACUAAGGGUUGUUCAAAGCAACUCUUAUUUCUUCAUACAACAAUUUGUAAGUGAAGAACUAAUAACACUAAAAGUGUCCUUGUCAUUUAUGCUAAUCUUCGUAAGUUCCUUUGUUCAUAUAACGAAGGAAUAAGCAUUGGUUGUUUGUGUUGUUCUCUUCAUGAUAGACUUUUCUAACAUGUUCUUCCAAUGAUACAUUAUCAAUUAGGAAGAUUGUGAGGAUGAGACUACUUAGGUACAUAUACAAUCCUUUUAAGACAAUCUUUGGGAUUGUGGUACCAAGUCCGGAAACUAAAACAUUCGGUUUUUAUUUGUCAAGUGUUGGAUAGCGUUUGCAAAUAUAUUGGUAAACAAAUACAUAACGAAUAUAAAUUAGAUUGAUUUUAAGCCAUUUGAUUCGGGUCUUUAAAUCAAAAUAGCACCACCCACUAUUUUUGGCAAAUUCCAUAUCCCUCAUUGGAAUUCGAGAGUUUUGGAUGAAACUCUUAGUAGGGUAUGGGAGGCUCACUAUUACCAAGCCCACCUCACAAUGAUACGAUAUUGGCUAGCAAUAAUAAUAAUGAGAGAGUACGCUUACUCAUUUGCAACUCAUGCAAGUACCCAUCUUAUUUGGCCUCUAGAGAAUGUAACCUCACAAUGAUAUGAUAUUGGUUCCAUUGCACUUAGUUAAGUUCAUUCCCACCAUGCUUAGUGUGUGAAGGGGUUCAAGAAUAGCCUCACGAUGAUACGAUAUAUAGCUAUCCUCGUUGCCUACACUCACCUCAUCAUAUGUAUAUGGAUUCCUCCUGAGUAUAAGCAUGCACUUGUGUACUCCCCCAUGAUAGGGUGAAGCCGGUGUACAAGUCAUAAACGAUUGGAUCCCACCACGGUGGAAGGCCACGAAGAGAUAUGUUCAAAGCAUCUCUCGCUUAUCAACUUAAUAAUGGUUUGGUUGAGGGUUUUAGGUCUCAUCACAUAUAAACAUACAUUUUAAUCUCUAUUAAAAACUAUUUUGGUCCUAUUACAACUAUUGGUCCAUAUGAUUGUUUUUAGUUGUAUAUAAUACUCCCACUAUGCUUAUAAAACGGUUUUUAAAGCAAGAGUAUAUGAUACUACUAACAUAACCUUUGCAUUCAUUUGAUGGACUAUAUAGUUGCCUUAGGGCCUUAGGAUGACUAUGAACCUUUGUUUAGAUUCAACACGAGCCUUGUGUUGAAUCUCGGUCUAGGGAUGGUGAUUGAUUUUAGUUACGCGUUUAAUCACAUUAAGGCGUGUUGUCUUAGGGGCGUUGGACCCAACUACUUCAUUUUCAUGCAUAUCAAAUAAAAGCAAGAAAAGAAGUACUUCAAAGUAAAGGUGAGCUUAUGCUCAUUACAACAUUUGCAUAAAACAAAUUACUUUAAAGUAAAGAAGAGCUUAAGCCCUUUUACAACAUUUGAUCAAAUCAAAUUACAACCAAAAUCUAAUCUACACAUUCCCAUGGUUCAAACAAAUUUGAAACGGCCUAUUUCACAUAGCUCAAUUAUAUUAGGCUUAGGUUCAUAAUCACCCUUUAAUUAAUUAACACUUUAACUAAUUAAAUUGAAUGCAACAUUUUCAUUUGGUUUUUGUAUCCAUAAAAUUGAUUUAAAUGGAGCUAAAACAAAAUGAAAAUCCAAUUCUCAUUUAAAGAGACAAAACAAUUUUGUUCUCUACCUAAUUUGGGCCAAUAUGCAAUAACCACAACUUUUGGGCCAUAAAGCAAUUAACCUCAACUUUUGGGCUAUAUUGCAAAACUUUUGGGGUCACUUUGUAAAAGACACAAAAGUCCACUACUUCAUGUAAUUACAACUAGACCCAAAAAUUUAAUCAAUGCAAAAACUUCAUUAAAGGAGCAAAACAAUUUGUCCUUUAGCGUUUUUGGACCUAAACGUAAAAACGUAAACUUUUGGGCCAAAGUGCAAAUACACAAAAGUAUCAAAACUUUAUGUAAUUGCAUAAAAAGCCCCAAAAGUACUCCCACUUGAGGGAGGGCCGGUUUUAGAGAGGGAAAGGGAGUGGAGAUAAGUCCACUAAAAUUUGGAAAUUUUUUCAACAAUUUCAUAAAGCCUUGCAAGUGGUUUUUCGUUGGUGUAAAUCAUUAAACCAUGCAUGUGGUGUGUAAGGUGUGUAAGUCUUACACACCCAUCACAAUUUCUAUCACCUUUCAAAAAAAAUGUUUUGGUGAUAGAAAAUUCACAUCAACCAACACAAAACAAAGACUUUAUGAAAUUAACCAAAACUUUGAAUCAAAACACAAACCUUUUUGUUCUUGGCAAAAAUGUCAAGAACAAUGAAGAACACUCAUGAAAAAACUCAAAAUUUUCCAUGAACAUUUUUCACCCAAAAACAUUCCAAAACCAUUCAAACUUUAGGGAAAUAACAUCUAACCAAACUAGGGUACAUAGGGGUUCCAAAAGUCACCUUAAAACACUUUUAACAAGUCAAACAAGAACCCAAAAAUCCACCCUUUGGAUUUGGCCGAAUUUUCCCAAAGUCAUGGCACCAAAUUUUAGCUCCAAUAUUCAUGCUCAUAUGAACUACAUCUACAACAUUUGAGAUGGCAAAUUUUCUAACAAAAUUUACAUUCAAAGAAACAAGAAUAAAGCUUGUAACAUAUUACAACUUUUAAAUCACAAACUAUGAACUACAAAACCCAAAAGGAUUCACCAACUACUAGACCUAGGCUCUGAUACCACUUGAAGGGAUAUUUUGUGAAAACAUGUUCAUUUAAGCAACAUCAAUAAGCAUGCAAUUAACAAUUAAAGGCGGAAUCAUGCUAGCAUGCACUUAAAAACAAAACAUUAACCAUGAAAUUCAAAGCCUAGUAGAUUGGUGAACCAUUAAUCAACUCAAAACAAAGUGAGUUGAGAAAUAUAUACCUUUGUAGAUUCCUCUUUGUAUUUAAACAAAGGCUAAUCACCCAAGAGAUAGGGCCUUCAUUCCUUGCAUCUUAAGAUCCAUGGAUUUGGAUGGAUCUACACCAAGGAGAGCAUGGAUGAUAAAUGAGUGACCAUGGAAGAAUAGAUGGCUAGCUAACAACUUCCAUGGUGGCCGGCUUUUCUAGAGAGAAAUGGAGAGACAAUUCUCACCAAUUUUCCCCAAAACAAACCCUUAAUGAAUAAAAGGCUAUAAAGUCAUAUUUAUACCUUUAUUCAUUUGAGUGGCAAACUUGUAAUUAAAGCAAAGUUCACUACCCUUUCUCUAUAUGGCCGGCCAUGGGGGGUUGUUUGGGCUUUUGGGUCUUAGUGAAUCAAUAUUCAUUAAGUUGUCAUACAACUUAAGUCAAUGGGCUUGACGUUCGAAGCCCAUUGGGCCUUAAGGUCCAAAACCUAUCCCGAGGUCUUUAACGAACUUAUUCGUUUGAUUAAUUAACAUAUUAAUUAAUCCUUGCCAUAAAUAAUUAAACUAUUCAAUUGUUCUUACUCAUUUAGUUUGUUUCAUCCAUCUCCACCUUAUACGGUGUACGAUCCAUUAGGUUCCUUUUAGCGAGGCAGUGGGCGAUUCAAAACUCUUUCAAAUCGAUUAUGAAUUGAAACUUACUUUCAAUUCUCCCUUUAGUGAUAAUACACUUUUAGGGCUUCCACAAACCAUGAGUGACACCUAGCCGUAUGUCAUGGUUACCCAAGCUAAUCAGAAGAGGUUAAGAACCUAUUCAGUUUAGGAUUACAAAUGCAAUACGGUCCUUCUCUAAUACAAUACUCUUGACCACAUUGUUUGGUUUGAUAGUUUAUUCAUGUCUACUAUCCAAUGUGAAUCGUGUUCUUAUAUGAUUUCCUUGAAUGUGAUUUAGAACGACUUUUCUAAAUCUCAAUCAUACUCUGGCCAGAGAUUCUAAAUCAUAUCAUAGAGUAUUCUCCCUCAAACGGUUUGAAGGUUAGAGAUCCCUUGUUGCGCAUUCACUUGCCUCCAUGACUAAGUGGCUUAACCCCAACGAUGCCGUGGACACCCCGAUGGGGUGACAUUGACAUAAUCAAAGAUCAAGGACUUAACCACAAGACAACUGUGAUGCCUCAGGUCAAAGGACUAAUUUGCAUUAUCCCAAACAUGAGUUCUCAUGUGACAUGAGUAUGAGAACUCUUCGUUGAUCGUGUUCAGUGAACUCAUUCUCUACUGAGCACCUACGUACUUGUCUUGAUGUCACACACACCAAUGACUCGAGACUAGUCACUCUCCCUGAGAGAAGACAUAGCACGUACCGAUCUUGACGGACUGUCAAUGCCCAAUUGGCAAUCCUAUGAUCAGGAACAUUUAGGAUGUGUCUACGAAAGAAUGGUCUCAUGAAUCUAACUUCAUUAGAUUACAUUCUUCCAAUCACAUAUUCCUUGGACUUUAUCGUUUAAGCAUAUAACAUUUAUAUGAGACGGCUCAAACAAUAAUCUUUGCCCUUUAUAUUAAACUAGAUUAGUUUAACAUGUGAAAUGUCCGUAAAGUAUCAUCACAUGAUUGGUUUCAGGGCACAUUUCCAACAGUUAUUUGUUUUGUAGAUGCAAUUUUAUCUAAAAACAAGGAAGAAGAAAUUUGCAUCCAAAUAUGUGAUGCGCAAACCAAAAAACGUGGUUCUCAUCAUUCGACCUAGUUUCUAAGAUCACCAUGUUGGCACGUUGUCAAUUGCUUAUCUACUGGCUAUCAAGGACAUAAUUUAUAUUUGGCUAAUAUGUAGUAAAGUAGCAAUGGUCUUUUUAUAUACACUGAUAUAAUUAAUUAACUUGAUCAUUCUACUUAAAAUUAGUUGGUGAUACGUUAAAAGACUCAAGAUCUGACAUAGUUACAUGUCUUGGUGCAAGAAUUGACAAUAUGUGUUCCUUACCGAGAAUUUACACUGUAAAUAUUGCAAAUAUCAAAAUUUCAGUGAAAUAAAUGUUCGCCAACAAAUUAAAUUUUAAAUCGUAAGGAUUGUGUCGCAUACCAUAGACCCCACCAAAUUGCAUACCUGUCGAUUCAUUCACACUACAGUCAAAGACUACGGAUCACGUGAAACUUCUCGUGGUCCCGUUUUGUUCAAAAUCAAACAUCGACGGUCCUUGAUGAAACUUCUAGACCGAUUCAACGUCAAGUAUUCAUCACCCUUGGGACAGAAAUAUGAUAAACCGGUUAUACACAAGUCAUGCACACCAUGCACAAAACCGAAAUUACUAAAAUGCCCAAAUAUAAAUACUAAAAUUCCUCAGCUCAUUUGAUCAUCACUGUUCUCAUUUGCUGGAGAGGGAUGUUGAGAGCUUUGUGAGCUCUGGGUUUCUAGGUUGAGCUUAGCUCUCUGAGCUCCAAUUUCUAAGAAAGGGAAGUCGAGAGUGAAGCUUCCAAGUGAGAAUUUCUUGUUUGCAUCAGUGUUCCAUCCUUAAAGAUAUGAUUUUUGUACCAAAUUUUGCGUUUUGGCCGGAAAGUUCCAUUCUUUCCAGCUAGUGAAGCUUCGGUAGCCAUAAUUCCAAGCCAUCUGGUUCGUCUCUCUCUCUCUCUCUCAUCUCUUUCUCUCUCUAACUCAGUCAUUGUCUCCAUUCCAGCAACUAAUUACUUGUUUGUUCAAUUAGGUUUUUGGAUUUGUAGAGAUAGCAAGUCGAACAAAAUUAUUUAUUUAUGGUUUUUGGUAUUUUAGAUUAUGGGUUUUAAUCUUAGAGUUUUACGUUUUAAUUUUUGUUUAGGGUAUUGAAGAUUCAUGGAGCUGCGUUGGUGGAUUUGGCUUUGUGGGUUUGGUAUAGAAUGCUCAAUAUUUGUUAAUUUUGUUAUGAACUUGCAAAUUUUUGUGAAUUUGAUUUGGAAUGGGUGUUUGUUUGAAAAUGUUUGUCAAUUACAAGUCUUAGUUCAAUAUGAAAGAAAUUGUAUACGAUAUGCAUAUGAUAUGCACAUGACAUGCACAUUUGUCAUCUCCAUAUAAUUUGCCAUGUGCUUGUACAUUGUAAUCAGUAUAUACAAGGUGUUGGAUUCUGGGUUUCAAAAGGUCCUUCAGAUGAUGAGUUAAAACAAUAACAAUGGGCUUAGAAAGGAAAAAAAAAAAAAGAAAAAGAUGUAAAAACCUCUAAAUUUCAAACCUAUGUCUUGUUGAAACUAUGAAUGUAUAGUCCUCACCAUUACAAAAUAGUUAGAUAUGCCUAGACCAAUCCAUGCACAAUAUGAUGUAGGGGGUGUGAGAUUUGAUAACACACUAACCUCUAUGUUGGAAAUGAAAUAACAACAUUUGGAAGCAUCGUUCAAGUUGGGGGUCAAAAAAGUAAUGGUGGGGAUUUUUAUAACUUUUGAAGGUCACAUGCAUCAAAUCCUCACCACAUAAACACCUUCAACACAUUCCCUCUUUUACCCAACUGAUUUCAUCCUCAUCAUGGUAUACUUGUGUAUAAAUAUGCUUCUCACACAUAGUUACAAUAACCAUUAACUCUCCUAAAAAAAUUAGACUUCUUAGAUAGCCAAAACAAUUGAGAACACAAACAUGUUCAAGUUCCCACAUGAAACCAAGGGUUUUAGCACGAGUUCCAUAGGCGGUACAACAUGAAACCUUCUCUGUUUCCGGGGUCGCCGAAGGAAAAUCGUACGUCAUCAUUUAGCUCUAUGGACUCGGAGACAUCGCUGAUGAAGGAAAAAUUUUGUCCUAGCUAAGAACAUGUGAGAAUAUUUGAACAUAUAUGCAAACAAUUAACACAUUAAAGUAGGCAUGCAUUCAAAAACAAUUCUGAAACCCAUGACUUUCAAAGCCUAGUGAAUGGUGAACCACAAGACUCUUUAACAACAUUAAAGAUAAAGAAGGUUUUAGAGAUUCAUUACCCUUGAAGAUCAUCCUUGUUUACACAAGGGAUUCACCCAAGUGGAGGGCCUUCAAGUCACCACCUAGCUCCUUGGAUCUUCCUUGUGAUUUUCUUCCUUUUGAUGCUCCUUUGCUCCUUGAGGAUAUGAGGAAAGGAUCUCCAAAACACCAAAGAUUUGGUGUCUCUAAGUCUCCACACCAAGGAUGAGGUGUGAAGAUAAAAUGGAUGACUUAGAGAAGAAAAGAUUGCUAACUAUAUCUUCCCUAUGUGGCGGGCCUCCUUGUAGAGAAAAAGAGAGAAAAUGUUUCUCUUCUUUGUCUCAAGAAAACCCUAAUGAGAAAAAACUAUAACGAUGCUUUUAUAUCUCUUUUCUUAGGUGAGUGGCAAACUUGCAAUUAAGCAAAACUUCACACUCCCCUCACUAUGGCCGGCCUCUUUUAAGUGAUUGGGCUUAUUGCCCAUUUUGUUUGAGUUGUCAUACAACUUAAACAUAAUGGGCCUUGUGGACCAAAACACUUUUGGGCCCCUAAACCCAAAACCAACUUAAAAGCCCAAUACGAACCUUUCGUAAAAUUAAUUAACUAAUUAAUAAAUCUUGACCAUUCUCAAUUAAACCAUUUAAUCGCGUAUCCAUCUCAUUUAUAUUUCUUCACUUUCACCCUUACUCGGUGUACGAUCCAUUAGGUUCCAAUUAGUUAGGCAGUGGGCGAUUGUUACUCUUAACGAUCGAUUGCGAAUUGAAACUAUAUUUCAAUUCUCCCGUUGAUUAUGAUUAGUGUUUGCUAAUCUUCAGGGCUUCCACAAGCCAUGAGUGACACCUAGCAGAAUGUCAUGGUUACCCAAGCUAAAUAGAAUUGGUUGGAGAACCUAUCCAAUUACAAUUACAAUGCAAUUCGGUCCUUCUCUAAUACAAUACUCUUAAUCACAUUGUUUGAGUGAUAGUUUGUAUCAUGUCUACUAUCCAAUGUGAUACUUCUCUAUAUGAUUCCAUUGAAUAUGAUUUGGAACAUACUUCCUAAGUCAUAUUCGUAUGCUUUGGCCAACGACUCCGGAAUCAUAUCUUAAAGUAUUCUCCUUCCACCAUGGAAGGUUAGAGAUCCCUUGUUGUGCAUUCAUAUGCCUACAUAACUAGAUAGCUUGACCGCAACAAUGUCGUGGACACUCUCGAUGGAAUGCCUUUGACAUGAUCAAAGAUCAAGGACCUAACCAUUAGACAUCUAUGAUGCCUCAGGUCAAAGCACUACUUUGCAUAUUGCAACUAACGAGUUCUUACAUGACAUGUAUGUUCGAACUCUCUUUUGAUCGUUGUUCAGUGUACUCGAUUACCCUUUCAAGUACCUAUGUGUUUGUCUUAGUGUCCAACACUAAAUGACUUGAGACUAGUCAUACUCACGCUUGAGUUAACAAAACACAUACUAACCUUAACGGAUUGUCAAUGCCCAAUUGGCAAUCCUAUGGCUAGGAACGUUUUAGGAAUGAACAUAAGAGAAAGGUCUCUUUAAUCUAACUUACUUAAAUCACUUCUCUCUUAGAUCAAAUACAUUCCUUGGAUUCCCUUAUUGCUUAAACACAUGAUACAAUAAAUAGUGAUUAACAAUAAGCUUUGCCCUUCAUUAAACAUAUAAUAGUUUAAUACAAUAAGUAUUCCAAAAGCUAUUACAUCAAAUGAGUGGCUUUGUGGGCAUACUUCCAACAAUCUCCCACUUGCACUCAAAGCCACCUUCCCAUGUAUCUAAUACCCAUCUUUUCCAUAUGGUGGUCAAGUUGGAUUUGAGAUAUUGGCUUUGUCAGUGGAUCUGCUACGUUAUCGGCUGAGGCAACCUUGAGGAUGUUGACUUUCCCCUCGGAAGCAUAUCUUCUAAUAAUAUUAAAGCGCCUGUCAAAAUGAUUGUUCUUUUGAUGAGCCAUGGGUUCCUUGGCUUGAGCUAUCGCCCCACUAUUAUCACAGUACAAAGUUACUAGUGAUGUAAUGGUUGGAACCACUCCAAGUUUAGUAAUGAACUUAUUCAUCCAGAACGCUUCUUUGCCGGCUUCAGCUGCAUCAACAUAUUCAGCCUCUGUCAUGGAAUCAGCAAUUACAUCUUGUUUCUUGCUUUUCCAGCUGACAGCCCCACCAUUUAGAGUGAAUACAUAUCCGGAGUUGGAACUUCUAUCAUCGACGUCAGAUUGGAAAUCUACGUCUGUAUAUAUGCUUCCACUCGCAACUCUGUUGCUCCUCCAUAAACGAGGAACAUGUCCUUAAUUCUUCUUAAGUACUUAAGGACCGUCUUGACAGCUGCCUAGUGUUCUGAUCCUGGGUUAGAUUGAUAUCGACUAGUAAUGCUCACAGCAUAUGCGAUAUCAGGCUUUGUGCAUAUCAUGGCAUACAUGAGACUUCCUAUGGCGGAAGCAGAAGGAAUAGCACUCAUUUGCCGUAUCUCUUCAGGAGUUUUAGGUCCCAUGGACUUAGAGAAAAGUGAAUUCCAUGUCUUACAGGUAGAAGACCUUUCUUAGAUUGUUCCAUCUGGAACCUAUUUAGCACCUUAUCUAUGUACAUAGAUUGGGAUAAUCCAAUUAAUUUUUUAGAUCUAUCACGAUAGAGCUUUAUCCCAAGUACAUAAGAUGCAUCUCCCAAAUCUUUCAUGUAGAAGGUUUUGGACAACCACACUUUUACAGAAGAAAGUACUGCAGUGUCAUUCCCGAAGUAAUAUGUCAUCUACAUAAAACACUAAGAAUACAACUGCAUCCCCAACGACUUUUUGAUAAACACAAUUGUCGUCUUCAUUUUGAGUAAAACCAAAUGUUUUGAUUUCAGUAUCGAAACGAAUGUUCCAGCUCCUAGAGGCUUGCUUAAGUCCAUAAAUGGACCUCUGAAGCUUGCAUACCUUAGCCUUUUCAUACUUGGACACGAAACCUUCGGGUUGAGUCAUAUAGAGCUCUUCUUCUGGGUAGCCGUUCAGAAAGGCCGUUUUCACGUCCAUUUGCCAUAUCUCAUAAUCAUGGUACGCAACUAUAGCAAGCAAAAUACGAAUGGACUUAAUCAUGGCUACAUGAGAAAAGGUUUCUUUAUAGUUAAUCGUUUCUCGUUGCCUGUAACCCUUAGCUACUAGUCUAACUUUAUAAGUCUCCACGUUCCCAUCAGUGCCUAUUUUCCCCUUGAAACCCAUUUGUUUCCAACAGGUACUAUACCUUCUGGAGGGUCUACAAGAGUCCAGACCUGAUUUUGAUACAUGGAAUCCAUUUCAGAUUUCAUGGCCUCUUGCCAUCUCUUUGAGUCAAUGUCAGACAUUGCUUCAGUGUAGUCCCUAGGGUCCUCCUUUGUGUCAUUGUCACCUAGAAGGUGCAAUUCCCCAAAGUCAUUAUCUAAGCCAUACCUCUUAGGUGGCUUGCUAACCCUUUCAGAUCUACGUGGAGCUAGGGAUUCAGGAACAAGGUUGUCAACUUGUCGAGUGCUUGUUUGUGGUUCAUCAUUAAUCUCAUUAAUUUCCAUCGUUCUACUUAUAGUUCCUUUGAGAACAAAUUCGUCCUCUGGAAACUUGGCAGUUCUGGCGACAAAAACUUUUUGGUCGUCAAGAUGGUAGAACUCAUAUCCCAUAGUUUCUCUAGGAUAUCCCACAAAAUAGCACCUAAUUGAUCUCGCUUCAAGCUUAGUAGCUUCAAGCUUCUUGACAUAUGCUUCACAAGCCCAAUCUUAAUGUGAUUAAGACUUGGCUUUCUUCCAUGCCAUAUCUCAUAGGGCGUCUGUGAAACUAAGUUGGAAGGUACUCUAUUAAGCAAGUAAGCUGUUGUAUAUAGAGCGUAUCCCCAAAAUGUUACUGGUAGAUCUGCGAAACUCAUCAUAGAACGAACCAUGUUCAUCAAGGUUCGAUUUCUCCUUUCAGAAACUCCAUUAAGUUGUGGAGUUCCCGGUGGAGUCCACUGUGAUAUUAUUCCACACUCUUUGAGAUAAUCUUGGAACUUGGUACUUAGAUACUCCUCCCCUCGAUCUGAUCUUAGGAUCUUUAUCUGUUUCCCAGUUUGCUUCUCAACUUCAUUCUUGAAUUCUUUGACCUUUCAAAGGAUUCUGACUUGUACUUCAUAAGAUACACAUAGCUAAACCGAGAGUGAUCGUCGGUGAAUGUGAUAUAGUAGGAGAAGCCUCCUCUCGACGUAGUAGACAUAGGUCCACAUACGUCAGUGUGGAUUAACCCUAGAAUUUCAGUGGCAUGCUCUCCUUUCCCAGUGAAUGGAGAUUUGGUCAUCUUCCCUUCUAAGCAACAUUCACAAGUACCCAUUUGGUCAUUACCCAAUGGGCGGAAAUAUCUGUCUUUCAACAUCUUGCGAAUCUUAUCAAGGUUCACAUGUCCAAGUUUAAGAUGCCAUAUCUUUUCUUGGUUAACUUCUUCUCUAGCCCUUUUGGGUUUUGAGGUAUUCCCGCUUUCAAUACAGUGCAUCCCACUACUUGUCUCUAGGUGAAAAAAUCCCUCUAUCAUAUUACCAUGAGAGAUAAUACGACCGUUCAAGUAUAAAGUGCAACUCAUUUUGUCAAACAAUAUUGAGUGCUCAUCUCGUAAAAGCUUAG